Long non-coding RNA from Saccostrea echinata, 1095 nucleotides. RefSeq lists it as uncharacterized. The transcript has 9 exons. The record is from RefSeq and is a predicted model, not a curated record. Lineage: Eukaryota; Metazoa; Mollusca; Bivalvia; Ostreida; Ostreidae.
AUGGAUUUUUUGCGCAUGCGCACGAGUAACUUCCGUGAAAAUGGACAUCAACAGUAAAAAAAUGUGCUGGUUACCGGAAGUUCACAAGAACCAGUUAAGCGAAGGUAACACCCUACAACAUGAACAUGAACUGAUCACUGAGACUGCAUUGCGUAUGAAAGACAGUUUUAGAAGACGAAUGUCACCUUCGUCAGAAGCAGAUUUUUACUGCCAGGCUGGCUUUGACCAAAAAAGUUUUGAGAUCAAAUUUAUAUCAGACUAUAAAAACAUCCAAAUGGCUAGCUCAGAUGUGGAAGUGGAAUCAGACCCUUUUAGUUGGGAAUUCAAUGGAAAUUCAUUUGACAGUGAUGAUGAUGAUGAGAUUAAUUCAGCUUGUUGUGAUCCUCCUGGACAUCCAAGUGUUUUCGACAUUGAUGAAGAUUUUGUCAAUCUCUCUCUUGGACUAAACCAAGAAAUGAUGGUUUUAAGAAGAUUAUAGGAUAUGUCAUAGAAUACGAAGACCCCACCACUGGAGGCAGGCUAAUGAAUACCCAGUAGAUGAGUGUGUUUAUGAGGUGAAGGGAUUAAAAAAGGACAAGGAAUACAACUUCCACAUACAGGCCAAGAAUCUUGAAGGUUUUUAAAUUAGUGAGUCUAGUGAUGUGAUUGGUCCCAUAACUCCCAAGCCCAAAUACACCAAGGUUUUGCCACCUGGUGUACCAGAGGCUGUCAACAAUUCUAUAACUUAUCUGAAAUGGGAACCACCUAAACAUAAUGGUGGCUGUAAAAUUACAGACUACCUUGUAGAAGAGAGGUUUAAGGGAACAGAGAAAUGAGUACCCCUGCACUGACCCCUCUUUACUGUCACUGAUCUUCCUCAGGACUCAGAGUGGGAGUUUAGAGUUACAGCUGAUAACUUUGCUGGAAACUGUGAGCCCAGUCUGUGCUCACCAGCAUACAAAAUCCAGGAGAAGAUUGAGUCUUUUGCAAUUGAGCAGGAUGAGGAAUCACACCAAUCAUUUGUAAAUGAAAGCAGCAGUCAUGAUGUUGUCAAUGAGAAUGGUAAUCUAUAUUUAUGAUGUUGUUUGGAUGUUACAAAUUAAAAGUUAACCCCAU